GAUGAAGAACGUAGCGAAAUGCGAUAAGUAAUGUGAAUUGCAGAAUUCAGUGAAUCAUCGAAUCUUUGAACGCACAUUGCGCCCGCUAGUAUUCUGGCGGGCAUGCCUGUCCGAGCGUCAUUUCAACCCUCAAGCCCCCGGGCUUGGUGUUGGGGAUCGGCGAGCCUCCGCGCCCGCCGUCCCCUAAAUCUAGUGGCGGUCUCGCUGUAGCUUCCUCUGCGUAGUAGCACACCUCGCACUGGGAAACAGCGCGGCCACGCCGUUAAACCCCCAACUUCUGAACGUUUGACCUCGGAUCAGGUAGGAAUACCCGCUGAUCUUAAGCAUAUCAAUAAGCGGAGGA
RNAcentral lists this unclassified non-coding RNA (343 nucleotides) under soil metagenome. RNAcentral's name for it is "partial contains 5.8S ribosomal RNA, internal transcribed spacer 2, and large subunit ribosomal RNA". The stretch from base 1 to 120 matches the Rfam family "5.8S ribosomal RNA", at positions 35 to 154 of the family's 154-position model. The record is from RNAcentral.